AGAGUUUGAUCAUGGCUCAGAUUGAACGCUGGCGGAAUGCUUUACACAUGCAAGUCGAACGGCAGCACGGACUUCGGUCUGGUGGCGAGUGGCGAACGGGUGAGUAAUAUAUCGGAACGUGCCCAGUCGUGGGGGAUAACGUAGCGAAAGUUACGCUAAUACCGCAUACGAUCUAAGGAUGAAAGCGGGGGAUCGCAAGACCUCGCGCGAUUGGAGCGGCCGAUAUCAGAUUAGGUAGUUGGUGGGGUAAAGGCUCACCAAGCCAACGAUCUGUAGCUGGUCUGAGAGGACGACCAGCCACACUGGAACUGAGACACGGUCCAGACUCCUACGGGAGGCAGCAGUGGGGAAUUUUGGACAAUGGACGCAAGUCUGAUCCAGCCAUUCCGCGUGCAGGAUGAAGGCCCUCGGGUUGUAAACUGCUUUUGUACAGAACGAAAAGGCUCUUCCUAAUACGGAGGGCUCAUGACGGUACUGUAAGAAUAAGCACCGGCUAACUACGUGCCAGCAGCCGCGGUAAU
This 521-nucleotide ribosomal RNA is filed under the name uncultured bacterium. RNAcentral describes it as "bacterial SSU rRNA". It matches the Rfam family "Bacterial small subunit ribosomal RNA", at positions 8 to 524 of the family's 1533-position model. The record is from RNAcentral.